AACGAACGCUGGCGGCAUGCCUAACACAUGCCAGUCGAACGAGACCUUCGGGUCUAGUGACGCACGGGUGCGUAACGCGUGGGAACCUGCCUUUAGGUUCGGAAUAACUCAGAGAAAUUUGAGCUAAUACCGGAUGAUGUCUUCGGACCAAAGAUUUAUCGCCUUUAGAUGGGCCCGCGUUGGAUUAGCUAGUUGGUGGGGUAAAGGCCUACCAAGGCGACGAUCCAUAGCUGGUCUGAGAGGAUGAUCAGCCACACUGGGACUGAGACACGGCCCAGACUCCUACGGGAGGCAGCAGUGGGGAAUAUUGGACAAUGGGCGAAAGCCUGAUCCAGCAAUGCCGCGUGAGUGAUGAAGGCCUUAGGGUUGUAAAGCUCUUUUACCCGAGAUGAUAAUGACAGUAUCGGGAGAAUAAGCUCCGGCUAACUCCGUG
Molecule: ribosomal RNA, 433 nt
Filed under: uncultured bacterium
Lineage: Bacteria
Description: partial 16S ribosomal RNA
Rfam family: Bacterial small subunit ribosomal RNA
Source: RNAcentral